UAUAAUUUUUAUAUUUUUUAAAUUUUUUAUUUUUUUAAAAUAUUUUUUAAAUGGUUCUUUCAUGCAUUUUCAAGGUGACACAUUACAUACAACUAGCAUCACAGGCCAUAUAUUGUAGGAAGUACUCAAAUUGCUAAAGGGGUUAAAUCCAUCUGUCGCUAAACCAAGUCAUAUGUGGGUCACUCGCAAAGUAUGGAUGCUUUGCAUCGAAAUCUUUCCAUACUAUGGGG
Molecule: long non-coding RNA, 230 nt
Filed under: Elaeis guineensis (African oil palm)
Lineage: Eukaryota; Viridiplantae; Streptophyta; Magnoliopsida; Arecales; Arecaceae
Description: long non-coding RNA (EGUI_LNC030710)
Source: RNAcentral